RNAcentral lists this long non-coding RNA (785 nucleotides) under Sus scrofa (pig). RNAcentral's name for it is "lncRNA (ENSSSCG00025040566.1)". The record is from RNAcentral. Lineage: Eukaryota; Metazoa; Chordata; Mammalia; Artiodactyla; Suidae.
CGAGAGCCCUCAGUAGGAAAUGGUUGGCUGAGCAAACAUUUGUUUCCUGUUUUGCUCUUGAUAAUUUUACAUUUCAGCUCAACCUAGCUUUCCCCUUUUAUAGUUAUGAAAAUCAACACAUUGAGCCAGUGAAGUUUGUUUUCCCUCAUGCAUUUUGAAUGAUGCUAUUAAGAAUACAUGUGAAUAGAUCUUAUAAAAGAUAUUGGAGUUAGAAGUGGUUCCUUGGAAACAAGAAGGUGAGGGAGCUUCGGAAUGGCCUGUGGGACAGCUGGAGAGGCAUAGAUGGAAGGAACACCUGUGGUCAGAGGAAUACACAAUGCCUUUUGUGUAUAGAAAAUACCUAAGAGGCCCUGAAAACUUCUCUCACAUAUGCUACAUAAUUUUUCGCCCCCAAGAACCUGACUGAAGAACCAGCAGUCUGUGCUGGGUCUGAAUUCACCAUUAGCACCCAGGGUAACCUCAGUCCACAGAAUGUAAGAAGACAAGUGAGGCAAUGUCUGCAGUGUCCAGCGGCCAAACCCGCUCUGCUACAGAAGAAAUACCCCAAUUGUCCUUCCUAAGCAAAAAUUGCCACGAUUCCCCAUAAACACGCAGUUGUCCGUUGACUGAUAUAAAUAGACUUUUUAAUACACAACCAGCUGUCUGAGAGAGUUUAUAACUGUUGACCAAAGACACAGUGGGGAAGGGAAAUGGGAGGUUUCCACAUAGCAGGAGAAGGGCUUGUCUGCAGUGAGUGAGCUUGUACACAGAUCUCCCAUUUAAACUAUGUCAGUGUGCGUGGAUUC